UACGGAAGGCAGCAGUGGGGAAUAUUGCACAAUGGGCGCAAGCCUGAUGCAGCCAUGCCGCGUGUAUGAAGAAGGCCUUCGGGUUGUAAAGUACUUUCAGUCGUGAGGAAGGUGUUAAGGUUAAUAACCUUAGCAAUUGACGUUAGCGACAGAAGAAGCACCGGCUAACUCCGUGCCAGCAGCCGCGGUAAUACGGAGGGUGCGAGCGUUAAUCGGAAUUACUGGGCGUAAAGGGCACGCAGGCGGUUAAUUAAGUUGGAUGUGAAUCCCCGGGCUUAACCUGGGAAUGGCAUUCAAGACUGGUUAGCUAGAGUCUUGUAGAGGGGGUAGAAUUCCAUGUGUAGCGGUGAAAUGCGUAGAGAUGUGGAGGAAUACCGGUGGCGAAGGCGGCCCCUGGGACAAAGACUGACGCUCAUGUGCGAAAGCGUGGGGAGCAAACAGGAUUAGAUACC
RNAcentral lists this ribosomal RNA (452 nucleotides) under uncultured bacterium. RNAcentral's name for it is "bacterial SSU rRNA". It matches the Rfam family "Bacterial small subunit ribosomal RNA", at positions 340 to 786 of the family's 1533-position model. The record is from RNAcentral.